AGGGCAAACCGGGGAGCUACGGCUCUCCGGGGUUGAGGACUGCAUUUAGUCUUAAUGGUCUAUCCGAACUACCUGGAAAGGUAGGCAACACAGUGUAAAAGCCACGUAGGUUAAAGACCGGAGAGAUGAGCAGUAUCCAGAGUACCACGAGGCACGAGGAAUCUUGUGGGAAGCCGGGGGGACCACCCUCCAACCCUAAACACUGAAUGGCGACCGAUAGCGCAUAGUACCGUGAGGGAAAGGUGAAAAGAACCCCGGGAGGGGAGUGAAAGAGAACCUGAAACCGUAUGUCUACAAGCAGUCGGAGCGAAAGCGACGGCGUGCCUAUUGAAGAAUGAACCAACGAGUUACGUGCACUAGCGAGGUUAAGUGGAAGACACGGAGCCGAAGCGAAAGCGAGUCUUAAGAGGGCGGAUAGUUAGUGUACGUAGACCCGAAACCGCAGUGAUCUACCCAUGUCCAGGUUGAAGCGCAGGUAAAAUUGCGUGGAGGACCGAACCUGUGAGCGUUGAAAAGCUUUAGGAUGAGAUGUGGGUAGAGGUGAAAUUCCAAUCGAACGCGGAGAUAGCUGGUUCUCCCCGAAAUAGCUUUAGGGCUAGCCUCAAGUAGUAAGUAUAGGCGGUAGAGCACUGAUCGGGCUAGGGGCCAUAAAGGUUACCGAACCCUGUCAAACUCCGAAUGGUUAUACUGUAGAGCUUGGGAGUCAGACUACGAGUGAUAAGAUCCGUGGUCAAAAGGGAAACAGCCCAGACCACCAGCUAAGGUCCCCAAUGUCGUACUAAGUGGAAAAGGAUGUGGGGUCUCUAAAACAACCAGGAUGUUGGCUUAGAAGCAGCCACCAUUUAAAGAGUGCGUAAUAGCUCACUGGUCGAGAGACCCUGCGCCGAAGAUUACCGGGGCUAAAGUACGAAACCGAAGCUGUGGCUACGACGUAAGUCGUGGGGUAGGGGAGCGUUCUGUGAGGGCUGAAGUCGUUCUGUAAGGAACGGUGGACUUCACAGAAGUGAGAAUGUUGGUAUGAGUAGCGAAAAGAAUGGUGAGAAUCCAUUCCACCGAAAGCAUAAGGAUUCCUGGGCAACGAUCGUCGUCCCAGGGUAAGUCGGGACCUAAUCCGAGGCAUGGAGCGUAGGAGAUGGACAACUGGCAGAUAUUCCAGUACCGGUAAUGAUUGUUUGAGCGAUGGAGUGACACAGGAGGGCAGGCAGGCAGGAGAUUGGUUGUUCCUGUACAAGCGUGUAGGGUGGAACGUAGGCAAAUCCGCGUUCCGUGAGCCUGAGGCGUGAUGUGGAGGUUCCGGAAACGGAACCGAAGCUGCUGACCCCACACUGUCGAGAAAAGCUUCUAGUUAGAGAAUUACCGCCCGUACCGUAAACCGACACAGGUAUGCGGGGAGAGAAUCCUAAGGUGCGCGGGAGAACCCUCGUUAAGGAACUCGGCAAAAUGUACCCGUAACUUCGGGAUAAGGGUAGCCGCUGUUGUGAAGUCUGAACAGACGGAGCAUGAGGCGGUCGCAGAGAAGAGGCCCAAGCGACUGUUUACCACAAACACAGGUGCCUGCUAAAGAGAAAUCUGACGUAUAGGUGCUGACACCUGCCCAGUGCCGGAAGGUUAAGGAAGGAUGUCCGGAGCAAUCCAAAGCAUUCGACCGAAGCCCCGGUGAACGGCGGCCGUAACUAUAACGGUCCUAAGGUAGCGAAAUUCCUUGUCGGGUAAGUUCCGACCCGCACGAAAGGUGUAACGAUUUGGGCACUGUCUCAACGAGGGACCCGGUGAAAUUGAAGUACCUGUGAAGAUGCAGGUUACCCGCGACUGGACAGAAAGACCCCAUGGAGCUUUACUGUAACCUGACAUUGGGUUCUGAUACAUCACGUACAGGAUAGGUGGGAGGCAUGGAAGCGAGGACGCUAGUCUUCGUGGAGCCGCCGUUGGGAUACCACCCUUGAUGUAUCGGAAUUCUAACCGUAGGAGUAACGAAACUCGGGACAGUGUCAGGCGGGCAGUUUGACUGGGGCGGUCGCCUCCCAAAGAGUAACGGAGGCGCCCAAAGGUUCCCUCAGCGCGGCCGGAAAUCGCGCGAAGAGUGUAAAGGCAGAAGGGAGCUUGACUGAGAGCCAAACACGGCGAUCAGGUACGAAAGUAGGGCUUAGUGAUCCGGUGGCAUCCAAGUGGAAGGGCCAUCGCUCAACGGAUAAAAGCUACCCUGG
RNAcentral lists this ribosomal RNA (2204 nucleotides) under human gut metagenome. RNAcentral's name for it is "bacterial LSU rRNA". It matches the Rfam family "Bacterial large subunit ribosomal RNA", at positions 264 to 2471 of the family's 2925-position model. The record is from RNAcentral.